GAGUUUGAUCAUGGCUCAGGAUGAACGCUAGCGGCAGGCUUAACACAUGCAAGUCGAGGGGUAACAGGGAUUGCUUGCAAUCCGCUGACGACCGGCGCACGGGUGCGUAACGCGUAUGCAACCUACCUUUUACAAGGGGAUAGCCCAGAGAAAUUUGGAAUAAUACCCUAUACGAUCAUUAAUUGGCAUCAAUUAAUGAAGAAAACUCCGGUGGUAAAAGAUGGGCAUGCGUCCUAUUAGUUAGUUGGUAAGGUAACGGCUUACCAAGACUCCGAUAGGUAGGGGUCCUGAGAGGGAGAUCCCCCACACUGGUACUGAGACACGGACCAGACUCCUACGGGAGGCAGCAGUGAGGAAUAUUGGACAAUGGAGGCAACUCUGAUCCAGCCAUGCCGCGUGCAGGAAGACGGCCCUACGGGUUGUAAACUGCUUUUAUACAGGAAGAACUAUAUCUACGUGUAGAUAUUUGACGGUACUGUACGAAUAAGGAUCGGCUAACUCCGUGCCAGCAGCCGCGGUAAUACGGAGGAUCCAAGCGUUAUCCGGAAUCAUUGGGUUUAAAGGGUCCGUAGGCGGUCUAAUAAGUCAGAGGUGAAAUCCUACAGCUCAACUGUAGCAUUGCCUUUGAUACUGUUAGACUUGAGUUAUUGUGAAGUAGUUAGAAUGUGUAGUGUAGCGGUGAAAUGCAUAGAUAUUACACAGAAUACCGAUUGCGAAGGCAGAUUACUAACAAUAUACUGACGCUGAGGGACGAAAGCGUGGGUAGCGAACAGGAUUAGAUACCCUGGUAGUCCACGCCGUAAACGAUGGAUACUAGCUGUUCGAUCAACAUUGGUUGGUUGAGUGGCUAAGCGAAAGUGAUAA
This 864-nucleotide ribosomal RNA is filed under the name uncultured bacterium. RNAcentral describes it as "bacterial SSU rRNA". It matches the Rfam family "Bacterial small subunit ribosomal RNA", at positions 9 to 863 of the family's 1533-position model. The record is from RNAcentral.